This 253-nucleotide ribosomal RNA is filed under the name uncultured bacterium. RNAcentral describes it as "partial 16S ribosomal RNA". It matches the Rfam family "Bacterial small subunit ribosomal RNA", at positions 524 to 776 of the family's 1533-position model. The record is from RNAcentral.
UACGUAGGUGGCAAGCGUUGUCCGGAUUUAUUGGGCCUAAAGCAUCCGUAGCCGGUUCUGCAAGUCUUCCGUUAAAUCCACCUACUUAACAGAUGGGCUGCGGAAGAUACUAUAGAGCUAGGAGGCGGGAGAGGCAAGCGGUACUCGAUGGGUAGGGGUAAAAUCCGUUGAUCCAUUGAAGACCACCAGUGGCGAAGGCGGCUUGCCAGAACGCGCUCGACGGUGAGGGAUGAAAGCUGGGGGAGCAAACCGG